AAAUCCUCUCUUCGUGGAGAAAUUUUUCAUCAGAGUAAUUUCCCUGCAACAAUUGGCUUAUUUAACCAUUGGCAACAUCCAAUGAGCAACAUUCCGCAUACCCUGGGGAAAAGGAUGUUAUAGAAUUGAAAAUUUGUUUCGUCAUCGUAGGCUCCAAUAAAACCAGAAACUCUGUUUCAAAGCUAUCACAGCGAAAUUUUGCAGCUUAUAGUCUUAUUAAAGAGACGAAGAAUUGUGAGCGGGAUCAGGAUAUUUAUACAAGAACUACCUAUUUGGCUGGUUCCUACAUGGGUACUUUCCGAACUAGCCCUAUGGUAAACGAACGCCGAACCACUCAAAGAAGACACAAAAAAUGUUGCUCUGUAUACUUUACAACCCACCGCGCACCAGCCACCGAACUAGUUCGGUUGGGAUGCAACGUCUCACCAGUAGACGAAGAAACGAAAAGCAUGAGAAAAAAAUGAAGAGAGUAGGUAGCUAAAAAUUAUGCUGUCCUGCUCUUUUCCUUUCCCUUUUAUUUUUUGUAUCAUUUCAUUGCUGGAAUGUUCUUUGUGCGGCUGAUCAAGUUAUUAUAAUUAUUUAAAUUUAAACAGUAAGGAAAAGCCUUUAAUUAAAAAUGUAUAGCAAACGGCAUUUGCGUAGGCUCAAAAAGGAAAUAAGAGACAAAUAUGCGGCCAAACUUCAUCGUGCUAGCGGAGAAACAGUGUCGUGCAGUAAAAUAGAAAAAGUUGAAGGCCGCGAAAUAAGAGAGGAAAUCGAAGAAAAUGAAAAAAUGGAAAGUGACGUUGAAAUAAUAAAUGAAGCAAGUGAGAAUAAAGUGAGCUUAAGUGAAGAUUUAAAAGAGCAUAGGCCAUAGGCCCAGCGAGACUGCGCUGUAGAGUUCGGGUAUUAAACAGAAAUAGUUUGCAAGUCGCGCCAUUUUAUAAGUACACUGCGCAAAAAAAUCAUGAAAUAGUUAAAACUGAUGGUGGCCUUUAUCUCCAUUAAAAUUUGCAAGAACUUUUAUGGAGUUUUGAUUGAUGCCAUAACUGUAGAUGCAGGGACUGGAUCAGCUGAAGUACAGCUCAGGAAGGCCCUUCAGCUGCAAAAAAAAAUAGCACCACCGCGAACAGCAGAACCUAAAUUAAGUAAAUUUAAAAAUAAAAAUGGAAUAAAAAUUUAAAUAAAGGAAAUGCAGAUUAUUAACCUACUAGAUGGGGUACCCAUUGCA
This is a long non-coding RNA of Drosophila miranda, 1210 nucleotides long. RefSeq lists it as uncharacterized. Lineage: Eukaryota; Metazoa; Arthropoda; Insecta; Diptera; Drosophilidae. The record is from RefSeq and is a predicted model, not a curated record. The transcript has 2 exons.